This 315-nucleotide ribosomal RNA is filed under the name uncultured soil bacterium. RNAcentral describes it as "bacterial SSU rRNA". It matches the Rfam family "Bacterial small subunit ribosomal RNA", at positions 26 to 342 of the family's 1533-position model. The record is from RNAcentral.
AGAUUGAACGCUGGCGGCAGGCCUAACACAUGCAAGUCGAGCGGUAGAGAGGUGCUUGCACCUCUUGAGAGCGGCGGACGGGUGAGUAAUGCCUAGGAAUCUGCCUAGUGGUGGGGGAUAACGGUUCGGAAACGGACGCUAAUACCGCAUACGUCCUACGGGAGAAAGCGGGGGACCUUCGGGCCUCGCGCCAUUAGAUGAGCCUAGGUCGAUUAGCUAGUUGGUGAGGUAAUGGCUCACCAAGGCGACGAUCCGUAACUGGUCUGAGAGGAUGAUCAGUCACACUGGAACUGAGACACGGUCCAGACUCCGUAC